UAGCUCAGUCGGUAAAGCGUCUGCCUACGAUGCAGGGGACCCAGGUUCGAUUCCUGG
RNAcentral lists this transfer RNA (57 nucleotides) under Bos taurus (domestic cattle). It matches the Rfam family "tRNA", at positions 8 to 63 of the family's 71-position model. Rfam says of the family: Transfer RNA (tRNA) molecules are approximately 80 nucleotides in length. Their secondary structure includes four short double-helical elements and three loops (D, anti-codon, and T loops). Further hydrogen bonds mediate the characteristic L-shaped molecular structure. tRNAs have two regions of fundamental functional importance: the anti-codon, which is responsible for specific mRNA codon recognition, and the 3' end, to which the tRNAs corresponding amino acid is attached (by aminoacyl-tRNA synthetases). tRNAs cope with the degeneracy of the genetic code in two manners: having more than one tRNA (with a specific anti-codon) for a particular amino acid; and 'wobble' base-pairing, i.e. permitting non-standard base-pairing at the 3rd anti-codon position. Lineage: Eukaryota; Metazoa; Chordata; Mammalia; Artiodactyla; Bovidae. The record is from Rfam by way of RNAcentral. RNAcentral also lists the same sequence under 2 other names.